GGGCAGUCAGUUUAGACGGAUGAAACACUGCGGAGGUGCACCGAAGCAGAGAGGCGGGUUCGACUCCCGCACUGCCCACCA
Molecule: transfer RNA, 81 nt
Filed under: Bacteroides sp.
Lineage: Bacteria; Pseudomonadati; Bacteroidota; Bacteroidia; Bacteroidales; Bacteroidaceae
Description: tRNA-OTHER
Rfam family: tRNA
About the family: Transfer RNA (tRNA) molecules are approximately 80 nucleotides in length.
Source: RNAcentral